RNAcentral lists this ribosomal RNA (301 nucleotides) under uncultured bacterium. RNAcentral's name for it is "partial 16S ribosomal RNA". It matches the Rfam family "Bacterial small subunit ribosomal RNA", at positions 509 to 807 of the family's 1533-position model. The record is from RNAcentral.
CAGUAGCCACGGUAAUACGGAGGGAGCUAGCGUUGUUCGGAAUUACUGGGCGUAAAGCGCGCGUAGGCGGUUACUCAAGUCAGAGGUGAAAGCCCGGGGCUCAACCCCGGAACUGCCUUUGAAACUAGGUGACUAGAAUCUUGGAGAGGUCAGUGGAAUUCCGAGUGUAGAGGUGAAAUUCGUAGAUAUUCGGAAGAACACCAGUGGCGAAGGCGACUGACUGGACAAGUAUUGACGCUGAGGUGCGAAAGCGUGGGGAGCAAACAGGAUUAGAUACCCCGGUAGUCCCUGUCUCUUAUAC